UAAGGAAUAUUGGUCAAUGGACGAAAGUCUGAACCAGCCAUGCCGCGUGAAGGAUGAAGGCCCUCUGGGUUGUAAACUUCUUUUAUCUGGGACGAAAAAAGGGAAUUCUUGCUCACUUGACGGUACCAGAGGAAUAAGCACCGGCUAACUCCGUGCCAGCAGCCGCGGUAAUACGGAGGGUGCAAGCGUUAUCCGGAUUUACUGGGUUUAAAGGGUGCGUAGGUGGGCAGGUAAGUCAGUGGUGAAAUCUUCGAGCUUAACUCGGAAACUGCCAUUGAUACUAUAUAUCUUGAAUUAUCUGGAGGUAAGCGGAAUAUGUCAUGUAGCGGUGAAAUGCUUAGAUAUGACAUAGAACACCCAUUGCGAAGGCAGCUUACUACGGAUCGAUUGACACUGAGGCACGAAAGCGUGGGGAUCAAACAGGAUUAGAUACCCCGGUAGUCC
RNAcentral lists this ribosomal RNA (444 nucleotides) under uncultured bacterium. RNAcentral describes it as "bacterial SSU rRNA". It matches the Rfam family "Bacterial small subunit ribosomal RNA", at positions 355 to 796 of the family's 1533-position model. The record is from RNAcentral.